AGCUCCAAUAGCGUAUAUUAAAGUUGUUGCAGUUAAAAAGCUCGUAGUUGAACUUUGGGCCUGGUUGGCCGGUCCGAUUUUUUCGUGUACUGGUUUCCAACCGGGCCUUUCCUUCUGGCUAACCUUGGGUCCUUGUGGCCCUUGGCGAACCAGGACUUUUACUUUGAAAAAAUUAGAGUGUUCAAAGCAGGCGUAUUGCUCGAAUAUAUUAGCAUGGAAUAAUAGAAUAGGACGUUUGGUUCUAUUUUGUUGGUUUCUAGGACCAUCGUAAUGAUUAAUAGGGACGGUCGGGGGCAUCAGUAUUCAAUUGUCAGAGGUGAAAUUCUUGGAUUUAUUGAAGACUAACUACUGCGAAAGCAUUUGCCAAGGACGUUUUCA
RNAcentral lists this ribosomal RNA (378 nucleotides) under uncultured eukaryote. Its description in RNAcentral is "SSU rRNA". It matches the Rfam family "Eukaryotic small subunit ribosomal RNA", at positions 587 to 972 of the family's 1831-position model. The record is from RNAcentral.